AGCAGCCGCGGUAAUUCCAGCUCCAAUAGCGUAUAUUAAAGUUGCUGCAGUUAAAAAGCUCGUAGUUGAAUUUCGGGACUAAUAUGUCGGUCGUGCCUCGGUACGUACUGGCUUAUUGGUUUCUCCUUUCUGAAGAACCAUGAUGUCAUUUAUUUGGUGUCGUGGGGAAUCAGGACUGUUACUUUGAAAAAAUUUAGAGUGUUUAAAGCAGGCUCACGCUUGAAUACAUUAGCAUGGAAUAAUGAAAUAGGACGUUUGAUUCUAUUUUGUUGGUUUCUAGGAUCGACGUAAUGAUUAAUAGGGAUAGUUGGGGGCAUUAGUAUUCAAUUGUCAGAGGUGAAAUUCUUGGAUUUAUUGAAGACUAACUACUGCGAAAGCAUUUGCCAAGGAUGUUUUCAUUAAUCAAGAACGAAAGUUAGGGGAUCGAAGACGAUCAGAUACCGUCGUAGUCUUAACCAUAAACUAUGCCGACUAGGGAUCGGAUGAUGUUAAUUUUUUAAUGACCCAUUCGGCGCCUUAC
Molecule: unclassified non-coding RNA, 520 nt
Filed under: uncultured Glomus
Lineage: Eukaryota; Fungi; Glomeromycota; Glomeromycetes; Glomerales; Glomeraceae
Description: SSU rRNA
Rfam family: Eukaryotic small subunit ribosomal RNA
Source: RNAcentral